RNA transcript from Solanum dulcamara, 2209 nucleotides. It is a transcript of the gene named biotin carboxylase 1, chloroplastic-like, with no coding region annotated. The transcript has 18 exons. The record is from RefSeq and is a predicted model, not a curated record. NCBI's taxonomy places the organism in Eukaryota, Viridiplantae, Streptophyta, Magnoliopsida, Solanales, Solanaceae.
GACAAAAAGAUAGACGAGAGCAUAGUUAAAGGAUUAUUUUAGACAAUUCCGGUAAUUGAAGGUACUAUUUGUGGCCUUUUCUCCUAAAUUGUGCGUACUCCUGAACCAAAUCACAGCCCAUUUGCAGGUAAAACCUGUAACGCAUUUUUUUGGCGGACAAUUCAAUCUUGUUUGGAAAAUCCUAUAGUCAAAUCUCUUGCUUUCUUGUUUUCAUCGACAGCAACCUUCCCCUUCUUCAAAUCUACCCCACACCCACCUCCUCUUUCAUUCUCAUUUCUCUGAGGAAGUAGUAAUUGGAAGACAGGAAUUGAAUUACAUUGAUCAGGAAAUGGAUUCUGCAGCCAUGACUAGCGUUUGUGGCAAAUCUGCUGUUUGCUCUACUCCCGUAAGACCAAUUCGACAUGGUUUAUUUAUGGGGAGAACAAGCAAUAUUAGGAGCUCGCAGUGUAGCUUUAUGGCAGGAAAUAGGAUAAACUUUCCAAGGCAGACUGCUCAAGCACACAGAGUUAGUACUAAAUCUCGCAAGUAUGGUGCUCUUACUGUGACAUGUCGCACCGAGAAAAUUCUGGUGGCAAAUAGAGGAGAGAUUGCUGUCCGUGUGAUUCGAACUGCCCAUGAGAUGGGAAUUCCUUGUGUUGCGGUUUAUUCGACUAUCGAUAAAGAUGCCUUACAUGUGAAGCUAGCUGAUGAAUCUGUUUGCAUUGGAGAGGCACCAAGUAAUCAAUCGUAUUUAGUGAUCCCAAAUGUCUUGUCUGCUGCUAUCAGUCGCGGAUGUACAAUGUUGCAUCCUGGAUAUGGUUUCCUUUCUGAGAAUGCAAGUUUUGUUGAGAUGUGCAGAGAACAUGGAAUCAACUUUAUUGGGCCAAAUCCAGACAGUAUAAGAGUCAUGGGUGACAAAUCCACUGCUAGAGAUACAAUGAAGAAUGCUGGUGUUCCAACUGUACCAGGAAGUGACGGACUAUUGCAGAGCACUGAAGAAGGUGUAAGGCUUGCCGAGGAGAUUGGUUACCCCGUGAUGAUUAAGGCAACAGCUGGUGGUGGUGGACGUGGAAUGCGUCUUGCUAAAGAACCUGAUGAGUUUGUAAAAUUAUUACAGCAAGCUAAGAGUGAAGCAGCAGCUGCAUUUGGAAAUGAUGGCGUUUAUCUGGAGAAGUACAUCCAAAAUCCCAGGCACAUUGAAUUUCAGGUUUUGGCAGACAAGUAUGGUAAUGUUGUACACUUUGGAGAGCGUGAUUGCAGUAUUCAGAGAAGAAACCAGAAGUUGCUGGAGGAAGCACCCUCCCCUGCAUUGUCACCAGAGCUGAGGAAAGCCAUGGGUGAUGCAGCUGUUGCAGCAGCAGCAUCUAUAGGUUACAUUGGUGUUGGUACCAUAGAGUUUCUAUUGGAUGAGAGAGGGUCUUUUUACUUCAUGGAAAUGAACACUCGUAUUCAGGUAGAGCAUCCAGUGACAGAAAUGAUAUCCUCUGUUGAUCUGAUAGAGGAACAGAUCCGUGUCGCUAUGGGAGAAAAGCUCCGAUACAAACAGGAGGAUAUUGUGCUUAGAGGACAUUCAAUUGAAUGUCGUAUAAACGCAGAAGAUGCUUUCAAAAAUUUCCGACCUGGCCCAGGGAGAAUCACUGCAUAUUUACCAGCUGGAGGUCCAUUUACGCGUAUGGAUAGCCACGUUUAUCCUGACUAUGUGGUUCCACCUAGCUACGAUUCCCUGCUAGGAAAGCUUAUCGUUUGGGCUCCAACACGCGAGAAGGCUAUUGAGCGCAUGAAAAGAGCACUUGAUGAUACCAUUAUCACUGGAGUUCCUACCACAAUAGAAUAUCAUAAACUCAUCCUUGAUAUCGAGGACUUUAAGAACGGGAAAGUUGAUACUGCUUUUAUUCCAAAGCAUGAGGAAGAAUUAGCUCCGAAACAUGAAAUAUAAGAUGAAGACAGGAAAGCGCAGGUUCGAGCUCAGCUCGUAACAACACUUAGAAACUCGCCUCAGCAAAUGGCUCCAGCAGCAACCAAGGAGCUGAUCAAAGCCAGUGUUUAAUUAUUCUUUUCUUUAGUUUUCUUCUUUGAUCUUUUUCCUUCAUCAGUGAAUAUAGUGGAAGAAGAUUACUUCCAUGGAUCUUGAAUUGAGUGCAGUUUUGGAUAUUACUUUCAUUCCCUUGAUCUUAGCUUGAUUGUAUUUAAAGAUGCACAAGACUGAAUGAAAUUCUUCUCUUUUUUAAAA